CACGGAACCAGCGCUGCGUGAGCUCAAGUUACUCCGCUUCUCCAAACUGUGACAACCAAACGACCCAGGCCGGGUGGCCACGGUGCAGAUGGGGUGCGGCCCGGAACCAGGGAGAGGUCCAGGAUGACAGAGCUGCAGCGUCCUGAGCUCAGGAGAGGGUGGGGUUCAAGUCCUGCUGCUCUACUUCUGAUCCGGCUCCCUGCUAAUGCGCCUGGGAAAGCAGUGGAAGAUGGGCCAAGUGCUGGCCCCUGCACCUACGUGGGAGACCCAGAGGAAGCUCCGGGCUUCAGCCUGGCUCAGCCCUGGCCGAUGUGGCCAUUUGGUGAGUGAGGCAGCACCUGCAAGAUAUAUCUAUCUCCCUACCUCUGCCUCUAAGAUAAACGAAUACAUCUUAAAAAAAAAAAA
Molecule: long non-coding RNA, 405 nt
Organism: Lepus europaeus (European hare)
Lineage: Eukaryota; Metazoa; Chordata; Mammalia; Lagomorpha; Leporidae
Exons: 3
Source: RefSeq, a predicted model, not a curated record